GCGGGGCGGUGGACGCGGUGCGAGCGCGCGCGGCUCGGGCCGGCGGCGCCUCCGGGCCGGCUCUGUCCGAGCCCCCGCAGCCCCGGCCCUGCUCGUCGCCCCGCGUCCAGAAACUGGACGCGGCGGGGCGGCCUCGGGGUCGGGCCUGUCUCCAGCACCAGCAAUUCCGUGCCCUGGGCCCGGGCUGGGUCAGCGUUCGCCGCGGACGUGGGGUGGCCAGGGCGCAGCCGCCGUGAACUUCCGCGCCGCGUUCCGCGUGCAGGGUUUUCUCUACAGCAGUGUCUCCCCUUACCCUUGGUCUCAGUUCCCGUGGCGGCCCGGUCCGGGCGCAGGUGACCCUCCUUCGGACGGAUGCCCGGCCUGCAAUGGCUUCCCGCUGCGCCACGCACCUGCGCCCCGCACCUCCCUCCUGCCGCCGUGUGGGCCUCUCGUCCUCGCAUGCUGUCCAAGAGGGUCCCAGAAUGCAUCUGCUCUUGCCUGCCUCUGAGCUUUUAUGAAUGCUGUUCCCUCCACAGGGACUUCCAGCUCUAGAUCGGUGGUGGCCCCCCCGAGGCCCCUGCUCUGGGCAAGCCGACACCCACGUCGUAAGGACCCUCCAGCAGCCCCGCGGUCCAAGCGUCCGGGGGCCCCGCAGCCGGCACCAGCAUGGGAAUCCCCCAGCCCCAGCGAAGAGGACCACGUGCCUGGCUGACAUUUUGACACAAGAGAGGGUCAGGAGAGAGGCAGGGGAGAGAACAAGAGGCAGACUGCACGGACCCGUCACAGGGCUCUGUCUCAUGACCCUGAGAUCGUGACCUGAGCCGAAAUCAAGAGUCGGAUGCCUGGAGCGCCUGGGGGGGAGAGGGGGCGGGCUCCGUGGGUGAAGCGUCUGCCUUCAGCUCCAGUCAGGAUCCCAGAGGCCUGGGAUCGAGCCCCGUGGCGGGCCCCCUGCUCGGCGGGAGGCCUGCAUUUCCCUCUCCCUCUGCUGUGCUCUCUCCAGCUCCUUUCUCAAAUAAAUAAAAUCUCAAAAAAUAAAA
This is a long non-coding RNA of Mustela lutreola (European mink), 1016 nucleotides long. RefSeq lists it as uncharacterized. NCBI's taxonomy places the organism in Eukaryota, Metazoa, Chordata, Mammalia, Carnivora, Mustelidae. The transcript is spliced from 5 exons. The record is from RefSeq and is a predicted model, not a curated record.